GACGAACGCUGGCGGCGUGCUUAACACAUGCAAGUCGAACGGAAAGGCCCUGCUUUUGUGGGGUGCUCGAGUGGCGAACGGGUGAGUAACACGUGAGUAACCUGCCCUUGACUUUGGGAUAACUUCAGGAAACUGGGGAUAAUACCGGAUAGGAGCUCCUGCAGCACGGGGGGGGUUGGAAAGUUUCGGCGGUUGGGGAUGGACUCGCGGCUUAUGCGCUUGUUGGUGGGGUAGUGGCUUACAAAGGCUUUGACGGGUAGCCGGCCUGAGCGGGUGACCGGCCACAUGGGGACUGCGGUACGGCCCAGACUCCUACGUUAGGCAGCAGUGGGGAAUAUUGCACAAUAGGCGGAAGCCUGAUACAGCAACGCCGCGUGCGGGAUGACGGCCUUCGGGUGGUGAACCGCUUUCGCCUGUGACGAAGCGGGAGUGACGGUAAUGGGUAAAGAAGCACCGGCUAACUACGUG
RNAcentral lists this ribosomal RNA (468 nucleotides) under uncultured bacterium. RNAcentral describes it as "partial 16S ribosomal RNA". It matches the Rfam family "Bacterial small subunit ribosomal RNA", at positions 28 to 507 of the family's 1533-position model. The record is from RNAcentral.